This 486-nucleotide ribosomal RNA is filed under the name uncultured bacterium. RNAcentral's name for it is "partial 16S ribosomal RNA". It matches the Rfam family "Bacterial small subunit ribosomal RNA", at positions 30 to 507 of the family's 1533-position model. The record is from RNAcentral.
AUUGAACGCUGGCGGCAUGCCUUACACAUGCAAGUCGAACGGCAGCACGGGUGCUUGCACCUGGUGGCGAGUGGCGAACGGGUGAGUAAUACAUCGGAACAUGUCCUGUAGUGGGGGAUAGCCCGGCGAAAGCCGGAUUAAUACCGCAUACGAUCUACGGAUGAAAGCGGGGGACCUUCGGGCCUCGCGCUAUAGGGUUGGCCGAUGGCUGAUUAGCUAGUUGGUGGGGUAAAGGCCUACCAAGGCGACGAUCAGUAGCUGGUCUGAGAGGACGACCAGCCACACUGGGACUGAGACACGGCCCAGACUCGUACGGGAGGCAGCAGUGGGGAAUUUUGGACAAUGGGCGAAAGCCUGAUCCAGCAAUGCCGCGUGUGUGAAGAAGGCCUUCGGGUUGUAAAGCACUUUUGUCCGGAAAGAAAUCCUUGGCCCUAAUACGGUCGGGGGAUGACGGUACCGGAAGAAUAAGCACCGGCUAACUACGUG